AGGGGCUGUGAGGUGAAAAGAAGGAAGUGAUGGGGAGUGCGAUGACGGGAAGCGAGCGGCGAAGAGUAGACCACCAUGAGGGAGACGGCGGAGGAGACGCGGCCACUGAACCAUGUGCCUUCGCCUAGGUCAACAACACCCUCCCCUAUUACUGCCCUCGCAUCAACGAAGCAAAGGUCUCCAUGAGUCCUAUACAUUAGGGUUUCCGACCUCUUCCUUGUGUCAUCUUCUCUUGCCUCCGUGGCGACCAUGUGUGAGAUUUGAUUGUGCCAUCGUUGUGGUCACCGAUAGAUGCUUUGCGAUCAAUGGGGUGUUCAGAGCUUGCCUCUCUGAUUGACAAUGGGUUUUGGAUAGUUUUCUGAGCAGUAGAGAAAUAUCGUCUCCGAAUGAGUUUUCCAUAGAUGAGUCUUCAUGGGUUCUCUUGCAGAGAAGGAUUCGAUGAAAUCACAGAACGUUUCAAACAGAAGUUGCAGCAUUAAUGGAUCGCACUCAAAAGCGAGCUCUUAUUUUCAUCCGGCUCUUGUCUGAUCCGGUUUGGCCAGCCCUUUAUAUAGUGAAGCAAGAUGUGUUUUCAUCGUGGGGGAAGAGUAACUCAUGUAAGCUCUCGAGAUUUAUAACUAAAUUGAAGCUCAA
Musa acuminata AAA Group (dessert banana) is the source of this 633-nucleotide long non-coding RNA. RefSeq lists it as uncharacterized. The transcript has 3 exons. The record is from RefSeq and is a predicted model, not a curated record. Lineage: Eukaryota; Viridiplantae; Streptophyta; Magnoliopsida; Zingiberales; Musaceae.